AUUGAACGCUGGCGGAAUGCUUUACACAUGCAAGUCGAACGGUAGAGGGGGCAACCCCUUGAGAGUGGCGAACGGGUGAGUAAUAUAUCGGAACGUGCCCAGUCGUGGGGGAUAACGUAGUGAAAAUUACGCUAAUACCGCAUACGAUCUAAGGAUGAAAGCGGGGGAUCGCAAGACCUCGCGCGAUUGGAGCGGCCGAUAUCAGAUUAGGUAGUUGGUAGGGUAAAGGCCUACCAAGCCAACGAUCUGUAGCUGGUCUGAGAGGACGACCAGCCACACUAGAACUGAGACACGGUCCAGACUCAUACGGGAGGCAGCAGUGGGGAAUUUUGGACAAUGGGCGAAAGCCUGAUCCAGCCAUUCCGCGUGCAGGAUGAAGGCCCUCGGGUUGUAAACUGCUUUUGUACAGAACGAAAAGGUCUCUAUUAAUACUAGGGGCUCAUGACGGUACUGUAAGAAUAAGCACCGGCUAACUACGUGCCAGCCGCCGCAGUAA
This 496-nucleotide ribosomal RNA is filed under the name uncultured bacterium. RNAcentral's name for it is "partial 16S ribosomal RNA". It matches the Rfam family "Bacterial small subunit ribosomal RNA", at positions 30 to 523 of the family's 1533-position model. The record is from RNAcentral.